This is a small nuclear RNA of Notechis scutatus (mainland tiger snake), 110 nucleotides long. NCBI's taxonomy places the organism in Eukaryota, Metazoa, Chordata, Lepidosauria, Squamata, Elapidae. The record is from RefSeq and is a predicted model, not a curated record.
UGGUUGAUUGAAAGGAAAGCUAAUUAGCACUGGACCUGACAACGAGGGAGAAUUUCUCAGAAAACAGUUGUCACACAUAAAUCAGCUAAUGCUUUUGGCUAUGUCGUUUU